ACGGUGGUGGGUACGGCUACGCCCCCAGUUACAGCCACUCGUACAGCAAGACCUACAGCAAGCCCAGCUACGGAUACGGUCAUGGCAGCUCUGGCUAUGGAAAGAGCUACGGCGGCUACGGCGGCUACGGUAGCGGCUACGGAGGCAGCUACGGCUACAGCAAGCCGAGCUACAGCCAUGGUUACGUCAAGAGCUACGGCUAUUCAGCUCCCAGCUAUGGCUACGGCUAUGGCAACGGAUACGGCAGCGGAUACGGACAUGGCUACUCUGGCUACGGCGGUUACUCUGGCUACGGUCACAGCGGCUACGGUCACGGUGGCUACGGACACGGUGGCUAUGGCUCUGGCUACGGCUAUGGCGGCUACGGCUCUGGCUACGGCUCUGGCUAUGGCCACGGCAACUACGGAUACGGAGGCUAUGGAUACGGCGCCCCGGCGUACUCGUACUCUCGUAGCUACGGCUACUCUGCGCCCUACGGCUACGGUCACUAGACCAGCCCCAUCGGCACUGCGGUCUCCGCGGCGCCGCCCAGUCGCCGGCCUGCAGCCGGUCCGCACCGGGUCACGUGACUCGGAGAGGCCAGCUGUCGCCGCUCGACGUGCUCGCAGACCCCUCCUGGUCGGCGGUCACUCUUCUGACCACCUGGGGUCGGUUCAGGUCCUGACCUGUCCUGACCUGCCAGUAUUGUGCAGGACAGCGGGACACUCGUCCGCGUUAGACCCAGUCUUUCCAGCUUGAUUUAUUUAUGCUCGUGUCGAUUGCAGUGCCUGAGGGCAGUGCAUAACAAUACACGUGUAUU
Molecule: long non-coding RNA, 799 nt
Filed under: Pollicipes pollicipes
Lineage: Eukaryota; Metazoa; Arthropoda; Thecostraca; Pollicipedomorpha; Pollicipedidae
Description: uncharacterized LOC119104843
Source: RNAcentral